This 253-nucleotide ribosomal RNA is filed under the name uncultured bacterium. RNAcentral describes it as "partial 16S ribosomal RNA". It matches the Rfam family "Bacterial small subunit ribosomal RNA", at positions 524 to 776 of the family's 1533-position model. The record is from RNAcentral.
UACGUAGGGGGCUAGCGUUGUCCGGAAUCAUUGGGCGUAAAGCGCGCGUAGGCGGCCCGGUAAGUCCGCUGUGAAAGUCAAAGGCUCAACCUUUGAAUGUCAGCGGAUACUGCCGGGCUAGAGUCCGGAAGAGGCGAGUGGAAUUCCUGGUGUAGCGGUGGAAUGCGCAGAUAUCAGGAAGAACACCCGUGGCGAAGGCGGCUUUCUGGGACGGUACUGACGCUGAGACGCGAAAGCGUGGGGAGCGAACAGG